This 579-nucleotide ribosomal RNA is filed under the name Bacillus sp. CH54b_2C. Its description in RNAcentral is "bacterial SSU rRNA". It matches the Rfam family "Bacterial small subunit ribosomal RNA", at positions 57 to 632 of the family's 1533-position model. Lineage: Bacteria; Bacillati; Bacillota; Bacilli; Caryophanales; Bacillaceae. The record is from RNAcentral.
GCAAGUCGAGCGGACCUCUUCGGAGGUCAGCGGCGGACGGGUGAGUAACACGUGGGCAACCUGCCUGUAAGACUGGGAUAACUCCGGGAAACCGGAGCUAAUACCGGAUAACCUUUUGAACCGCAUGGUUCAAAACUGAAAGACGGUUAUGCUGUCACUUACAGAUGGGCCCGCGGCGCAUUAGCUAGUUGGUGAGGUAAUGGCUCACCAAGGCGACGAUGCGUAGCCGACCUGAGAGGGUGAUCGGCCACACUGGGACUGAGACACGGCCCAGACUCCUACGGGAGGCAGCAGUAGGGAAUCUUCCGCAAUGGACGAAAGUCUGACGGAGCAACGCCGCGUGAGUGAUGAAGGUUUUCGGAUCGUAAAGCUCUGUUGUCAGGGAAGAACAAGUGCGGGAGUCACUGCCCGCGCCUUGACGGUACCUGACCAGAAAGCCACGGCUAACUACGUGCCAGCAGCCGCGGUAAUACGUAGGUGGCAAGCGUUGUCCGGAAUUAUUGGGCGUAAAGCGCGCGCAGGCGGUCUUUUAAGUCUGAUGUGAAAGCCCCCGGCUCAACCGGGGAGGGUCAUUGGAAA